RNAcentral lists this ribosomal RNA (465 nucleotides) under uncultured Klebsiella sp. Its description in RNAcentral is "bacterial SSU rRNA". It matches the Rfam family "Bacterial small subunit ribosomal RNA", at positions 338 to 795 of the family's 1533-position model. Lineage: Bacteria; Pseudomonadati; Pseudomonadota; Gammaproteobacteria; Enterobacterales; Enterobacteriaceae. The record is from RNAcentral.
CCUACGGGCGGCUGCAGUGGGGAAUAUUGCACAAUGGGCGCAAGCCUGAUGCAGCCAUGCCGCGUGUGUGAAGAAGGCCUUCGGGUUGUAAAGCACUUUCAGCGGGGAGGAAGGCGUUAAGGUUAAUAACCUUGGCGAUUGACGUUACCCGCAGAAGAAGCACCGGCUAACUCCGUGCCAGCAGCCGCGGUAAUACGGAGGGUGCAAGCGUUAAUCGGAAUUACUGGGCGUAAAGCGCACGCAGGCGGUCUGUCAAGUCGGAUGUGAAAUCCCCGGGCUCAACCUGGGAACUGCAUGCGAAACUGGCAGGCUAGUGUCUUGUCGAGGGGUGUAGAGUUCCAGGUGUAGCGGUGAACUGCGUAGAGAUCUGGAGGAAUACCGGUGGCGAAGGCGGCCCCCUGGACAAAGACUGACGCUCAGGUGCGAAAGCGUGGGGAGCAAACAGGAUUAGAUACCCUAGUAGUC